GGUGAACGCUGGCGGCGUGCUUAACACAUGCAAGUCGAACGAAGCACUUUAUUUGAUUUCCUUCGGGACUGAUUAUUUUGUGACUGAGUGGCGGACGGGUGAGUAACGCGUGGGUAACCUGCCUUGUACAGGGGGAUAACAGUUGGAAACGGCUGCUAAUACCGCAUAAGCGCACAGCAUCGCAUGAUGCAGUGUGAAAAACUCCGGUGGUAUAAGAUGGACCCGCGUUGGAUUAGCUAGUUGGUGAGGUAACGGCCCACCAAGGCGACGAUCCAUAGCCGACCUGAGAGGGUAACCGGCCACAUUGGGACUGAGACACGGCCCAAACUCCUACGGGAGGCAGCAGUGGGGAAUAUUGCACAAUGGGCGAAAGCCUGAUGCAGCGACGCCGCGUGAGCGAAGAAGUAUUUCGGUAUGUAAAGCUCUAUCAGCAGGGAAGAUAAUGACGGUACCUGACUAAGAAGCACCGGCUAAAUACGUG
This 481-nucleotide ribosomal RNA is filed under the name uncultured bacterium. RNAcentral's name for it is "partial 16S ribosomal RNA". It matches the Rfam family "Bacterial small subunit ribosomal RNA", at positions 28 to 507 of the family's 1533-position model. The record is from RNAcentral.